This 460-nucleotide ribosomal RNA is filed under the name uncultured bacterium. RNAcentral describes it as "partial 16S ribosomal RNA". It matches the Rfam family "Bacterial small subunit ribosomal RNA", at positions 338 to 795 of the family's 1533-position model. The record is from RNAcentral.
CCUACGGGUGGCAGCAGUGAGGAAUAUUGGUCAAUGGACGAGAGUCUGAACCAGCCAAGUAGCGUGAAGGAUGACUGCCCUAUGGGUUGUAAACUUCUUUUAUAUGGGAAUAAAAUGUUCCACGUGUGGGAUUUUGUAUGUACCAUAUGAAUAAGGAUCGGCUAACUCCGUGCCAGCAGCCGCGGUAAUACGGAGGAUCCGAGCGUUAUCCGGAUUUAUUGGGUUUAAAGGGAGCGUAGGUGGAUUGUUAAGUCAGUUGUGAAAGUUUGCGGAUCAACCGUAAAAUUGCAGUUGAAACUGGCAGUCUUGAGUACAGUAGAGGUGGGCGGAAUUCGUGGUGUAGCGGUGAAAUGCUUAGAUAUCACGAAGAACUCCGAUUGCGAAGGCAGUUCACUGGACUGCAACUGACACCGAGGCUCGAAAGUGUGGGUAUCAAACAGGAUUAGAUACCCCUGUAGUC